This is a long non-coding RNA of Mirounga angustirostris (Northern elephant seal), 7289 nucleotides long. RefSeq lists it as uncharacterized. Lineage: Eukaryota; Metazoa; Chordata; Mammalia; Carnivora; Phocidae. The record is from RefSeq and is a predicted model, not a curated record. The transcript has 2 exons.
AGAUUUGCAAUGCUACUAUUUAAGAGAGCAAGAAUUGAUAUAUAAUAUUAAGAAAAAAAUGGAGUGUUUGUGAUGAUAGUCCUAGGGAGGGGGUUACAAAAUAAGCUCGUGCAUUGUUUGAGGAUACACAGUGCCAACUCUUGUCAUUAAACAUGGAGGCCCCAUUAAGGAGGGCAUGUGAUCUGAUGAGCACUGGAUGUUAUGCAACUAAUGAAUCACUGAACACUACAUCAAAAACUAAUGAUGUACUAUAUGUUGGCUAAUUGAAUUUAAAUUUUAAAAAUAAAUAAACAUGGAAGCCCCCUAAAGUAGAACAAAUUUAGAUAUGAUUUUUUUUUAAAGAUAAAUCUUCCAUUUUAAAUAAUUUUUUGAUGAUACAAGUAAUGUGUAGGUGAUCAAUUUAACUUAAAUGCCAGAAAUAUAAGGAAGUCUAUAAAGAUUCUAUACUCCCACCCUUUAGCAAUACAACAUUAAUUUUAUAGUAUAUAGGACUUUUUCCUUUUGGCAAGCAUUUUAGAUUUCUGAAACAAUUCAGCUUAUUCUGUAUUGCUGUUUUUCCUUAAACUUGUCUCACGAGCAUUGUUCACUUUAACUCUGCCUCUAAAAAUGUUUGUCCCAUCCUAGAACUCUUAGUCUUUUUCGAAUAUUUAUGAUUAUAAAUAAUGCUGUAUUGAACAUCUUUCUUUGUGUUGUCUUUUCUUCUUUUCUGAUAAUCACUAUAGUGUUGCAUAAUUUCUGAAAGUGUGAUUACUAGGUCAAAUAGUAGCAUAAUAUAAAAUGCCUGACUCAGCAAGUACAAUUCCUUGCUAAUGUUUUUCAACCUUGUUCAUUUGUAAGCAAAAGUGUCAAAAUUUGAAGGGAAAUACUAAAAUUUGCUUUGAUUAAAUCCAUACUUUAAAAUUGUUAUGCUAGUGGAAGCUGAAAUGGAAGUUGAUUAAGUUGGGGGGGAAAUAGGAUGUGACAUUUUAAUAAUUGAUACAGGUCACUUUAGUGCCUCUGAUUAGCAUGACAUUGAUAUGAUAUGGUUUAGUAGUAGAAUUUGGCAGAAGGAGCUGCUAUAAAUAAAGAACAUUGUAUGUCAGGCCUGAAAAAAGCUUUGUUUUCCCAUUUAUUUAAAAAAAUUCUUGGAAAAAAAUUGUAAAAAUAAAAGAAUUCUUGGGGCUCCUGGGUAGCUCAGUCGGUUGAGCAUCUGACUCUUGGUCUCAGCUCAGGUCUUGAUCUCAGGCUUGUGAGUUCAAGCCCCUCAUUGGGCUCCAAGCUGGGUGUGGAGCUUCCUUAAAAAAUAAAAUAAAAUGAAAUAAUAAAAGAAAAGAAUUCUUAUGACUUGGCAUCCUGUCUCUGAACUGCAGGAUACCAAACACAUACCCUCACCAGUCCCUAAACCUAACCCGAACCCAAACCUGAACCCUAGAUCUGAGGGGAAAAAAAAAGGAAAAUGUGGUAUAUUUAUACGAUGGACUAUACUCAGCAAUAAAAAAGUACGAGAUCUUGGCACUUACAACAACAGGGAUGGAGCUAGAAAAAAUUAUCUCAGGUUAAUAAAACAUUUAAAAUUCUGUGAAAAUUAAAUGAAAAACAGUAACUUAAAAAAGAAUGUAUUUCUUCAGGUCAAAAUACUUUAACGUUACAAAAAGCUAACAGAGCAGAUACACUUUAUGAUACAAUUCUCAGAUUCUCAUGCUAUCCCUAAACAUAAAAGCACUAUAUUGCUUUUUUCAAGUUUAAAUUUUAAGACAUCUUGUUGGCAAGAUGGAAAAAUUAAAUACUGAAUAUACCAUUUAUAUUCAUAUUAUUCUGAGCCAGAAUGCAUGUUAACAUAGAGCUGGUUGAAAUCUGACCUCUUGGGGGAAAAUGGUAGGGAUGGGGGGAUGGCGUUCUAAGAAAUUAGUAAUCUGAACAAGAUUGUUAGUGGUUGUUUAGCUUACUUAGGGAAGCACAUGGUUUUUGAGAGCCUUUAAAAGCACUCUAGCAGCAUACAUUUUUUAUAUAACCUCCUAACUAUAAGUGAGUCUAUCUAUUUCAUAAAGCAACUCAUGUACGAUCCUAGGGGUAGUGUUUGAUCUAGCAGUUUUAUACCCUUCAUGUGCUCUAUCAUUCUAAUUAUUGGUGGCUUUGCCCUACUUCCAUUAAAAAAUAAUAAAAUAUAGCAACAGCCCACAUAAACUAUAUUUUUUCUUGAAGCCAUUGAUGUGACUUCUAGUACUUAAGAGUAACAUAACUAUUGCCUUAAAGCAUUUUAUUUAAAUUGUCACCAGUUCAGAAUUAUUUCCUUCCCUCUGCAUUCCUGAACAGGGAAUUUUAUUGUAAUGAUCUGGGAUUCUGAAAUUUCUAUGUGAAUUAUUUGAAGGUAUAAUAUGUUAUGACAUGCAGUGGAGUCUGAUUCUUUCCUUGAGCUAAUAGUGAAACUAGAUGUUUGAAAAUGUUAUAUAUAUUAUAUAUUCAAAAGGUAAAGUAGAAAAAACAGGAAAAAAAUGUUCCCACUAAGAUCUCCUCUUUAAAAAAAAAUAGUUCUUGAAACCUUAUUUUAGGAUCUCGUUUUUAUCUGGGAGAUCAAGGAUUUCCUUUGGAAACCCACUUCUCCAGUGGCCUUUCCACCCUAACCCAUCAACGUCAAAAUUAUUUGUGCAUCUCAGCGGCAGUAUGCGAAGGAUGUUUUCACGUUUAACAUCUAUCCAUAAGACCCAUAGCUGUUCUUUGUACCUUGAGGGGAUACAUCAUUCAUCCAGAAUGUGAAAUGGUCAAUGAAUGCUUUUUAAGAGCUCAUAAUAAAUAUGUUUAAUUGAAUUAAGGGGAAGAAAAAAGCACAGCUUUUUGAGAUAAGAUUAUUCUGGUUUUAAAAAAAAAUAGUAUGUAAUUUGAGAGAUAAUAAUUUUUUUCCCCGCAGACCACAUUCUAAAAAAGGUCUGUGAUCUGAAAGCAGGCUUCUUUCUAGAGAUUGGCCACAUGGGUCCCCCCAAAAAACCUUGGUGGACUGUAAAAGGGAUUAUAUCAGAUAUACAAAAUAUCUGAGACUCUAAAUUUUAAGAAAUUUGAAAAAGUCUUAAAAUUCAAAUUUGAAAAAACUUACAACAAAAGUUAAUACAUAUUUAAUUAAAUAUCUUUGAAAUUUAACAUCGUAACAACUUCAUGGUCAAUUUAGUCUUUUUUUUUAAGAUUUUAUUAUUUAUUUGACAGAGAGAGACACAGCGAGAGAGGGAACACAAGCAGGGGGAGUGGGAGAGGGAGAAGCAGGCUUCCUGCGGAGCAGGGAGCCUGAUGUGGGGCUCGAUCCCAGGACCCCGGGAGCAUGACCUGAGCCGAAGGCAGACGCUUAAUGACUGAGCCACCCAGGCGCUCCGUCAAUUUAGUCUUCAUAAAUUUUUCAGUUCAUUUGCAAACAACGUUUAGGUCUUAUUUUCUCAUUCUGCACAGUUUCUGAAUAUAUACAGUGACUGCUGAGAAAUAAGAGCCAAUCGUAAACUAAAUGUGUGGCUUCUUGCCAAAUAAUUUUAAAAGCAAAAUUAUAACUUUUCUUCCAGAAAAAUUCUAGUUUCUAUGGUGUAUUGUUAUGUUUUAUUAUUUGUGCACACAUAUGGGGUAAGGCCACUGGUAAUAAGAAUAAUUAGGGCCCAUGGAGGACUUGAAACUGAGAUGGCAUCAAAAGCCACCCCUGAGAGUGACCCCUGGCCAGAGAUAGAUGUCCACUCUCAAUUAUUCAUAUCCAUGCUUUUCUUUAUUAUCUUGUAUGGUAACUAAGUAGGAGCAGUUUGAAAGAGCAGUAUUCCCUAAUGUUAUUUAUGUUCACUAAUCGUACUUGGAGUAUAAUUACAAGAAUAUGGGGAAAGUCGGCAUGGAAUAUUUGAAAUGUAUGGGGCUUAAACUAUAUUAAAGUAAGUCAGUAAAAAAAUGACUCAUUGUUUUAACCCCAAAUUUGUUUGCUUUUGUAAGUACUGCUAUAGCUGCUUCUUUCACUAUAAAAUCUGUUAUGAAUAGGAUAAAUAAUAACAUUGGAAACCAUCUUUCUCUGACAGUUUCUUUAAAAUCUGAAGCUAUAAUCAUAUUUCCACCGUUUUCGAGAUAUUAAAUGUAAUGAUUCAUUUUAUCAUAUUAAGACGAUUCACCUAAAAUGAGAAAUAGUGGUAUGUGGAAAUGUUGAACAGAAAACUCUAGCUCUGCUUCAUUUUUUCCACUUCUUUGUUAAUGCUUUUUAGAAAUCACUGUUUUGCUCUCCUGGGGAUCCCUUCACUGGAACGGAGACAUUUAAGUGAUUCCUAAACUACCAUAGACCCUAAGAUGUAAUAAACAUGAAUCCUACAGCUUUUGUAGAUUCUCUGCAUUCAUAGGAUUAGCCUUUCUAGUAGAAGAGAAACUACGCAUCUUUGUGGAUGUUAGCAAAAUCCUUUGAUUUUGAAACCUACUCCAGGCAGUUAAUUUAGUGGGAAAGUUAUAGUGUCUGAAUUGCUAUGAAUGCAGAAUGUUCAUGAAUUGUGGGAGGUGUCCUGCAAUUGCAUCCAGAGCUCUAAAGUGCAGAAGUAAAACGGCCAGUAAUUUCCAAGCAACACAGAGCAGGGCAUGAAAGAACAUUUUAGCUGCAAUUGCCUUCCUCAGUACCACACUGCUCACUGUUAUUAAAGCCAUAGGUCUCUGGCUACUGUCACAAGUAGGCAAUAGUUGAUCAAAACCAACUUGUACUGACUAAUAAAUCUUUCCACUGUAUUCAGUUUUUUAAAAAAAGAAAAAAAUAAUAAGUCCUCUUUUAUGGGCCUGCAUUUUUCUUGGACCAGAUCCAGUUGUUGUUACUGGAAGUGGGGCUUGUCUGACUCUUGCUGUGUGCCGGGGGGGUGGAGGUGGAGGGGUGGGGGGGUUGGGGUGCCCUGCAGGCAGUGGCAGGGUAGGAGGGAGCUAUAGGGCAGGGUCCUGGUGGCUUCUACUCUGGUGCCUGCCAAUUUCUCAGCCUCCAGAUAUUGAACUCCUGUCCCCUAAAGGUGUUUGUUCACAUCUUUAUAGCUUCGCAGGAGUGAUUUAGUCACUUUGCUGCUGUUUUGGGAAAGGGUCAGGACAGCUUUCUUUUCUUCAUUGUAUCCUUUGAGUAAAACUAAGGAUGACACAUAAUUGUAAUCAUGUUCCUUUCUAACUAUCAUACGCAGAUUUUAGUAUGAUCUUUUAUUAGCCUUACGACAUCACUGGGAGGUGGACAGUGGGACAGAUAUUAUCCUCAUUUUAGGCAUGGGUAUCUAAACAUCUUUCGUAGUGACACAGCUAGAGAUCACAUUUAUAACCUAGUCUUUUGUCUGUCUAGAGAGAAAGAAAUUAUGGCCUAAUCAGUCCCUUUGUGGGGAGACAAAAAGUAGCCUUAUAUGAAAAAUCUCAAGUAAAGCCUACAGACUCCAUAGGAAAUGCUGGGAGGGCAAAGUUGGGAUCUAAUCCCACAGUUCUCUAGGGAACAGGAGUUAUAGCUUCAAUUUACUUCUGUUACCAUGGGGAUUCCUAAUGGAACAGUAAAUACAGACCAUCCUGUAUCUGGGAAUGGAGACAUAGAAGAAUUUCACAUUCCAGAGUGAUCCGGAAUGUCCUCUUCUACAGUGAUGAGCAUUCCCUUCUUAUCUGUUUAAGGAUUUCUCAGCACUCCCAUGCUUCCCCAUCAGCGGGGUUGUGUGCGCACGCGCGCACACACACACACACACACACACACGGGAUCACUUCUGUUAUUUCUGUUUCCCCUUAAGAUUGGUCUCUGAGGAAAGACAUUCUCCAAGGGUAACUCUUCAUUCACAGUUGGACAGGUUGCAACAAAACUUCCCUUUCACUCUGCUUGAAAGAGAUGGGGAAGGUAUCACAGAAUGGUAACAUUUUAUCUUGGAUUUGAAGGAGGAGUACAGACGCUAACCAGCCCAUGUCUCAGUAUUUUCAAGUCUUCCCCUCCUUCUGCCAAUCUAAUGUAUCUUCAUGUUAUUAUAACUACAGAAAACAGUUUUCAUUUUCUGUAACAUCUCUGUGAGGUAGACAGUAGGAUAGAUAUUAUCCCCGGGGCAUCCAUUUUACCAGAAGGAAUAGGAUAAUUAUUAGGAUAUUCAACAAGAAAAAUGUUAAUUUGGAAUUCUGUUUAAAAAAAAAAUCUGCUCCAGCUUAUAUACACCUAACUUCUCUCUGGAGCUUAUUGCUGCUCCUGUUUUAUUUCAUACUCCCAAUUCUGGAAGCCUCUCUUCCUGCUUUUCUUUAGGACCAUUAUAUGGCAUCUUUCAAGGUUCCUUUUUUAGACUCUCUUUCUAAUAUUGAAAUUGCAACAUCUGAAUUUUUAAAAUGUAUCAGACUUUAUUAGUGAAGAACACAUAGCAUUCCCUCAUGUUAUCCUACUAAGUACUAAUUGCAAUCUCCUAUCUUGCUCUCCAGCCCGUUCCUCAAUUAGAUUUGGGGAUAUUGAAGUAGUUUUCUGGGACAUCUCAAAAAUGAUCAGGAGGCACAGAUGCCAUUUCCAGCAGAUCCACCCCUUGGCUUUUAGUUAUGGGCUUAGUUUCAGGGAUAAAACUUUCCCUUCCAAGAGCUCCUGCCGGUACAGAGUCUAAGGACCCGCUAUAAAACUUGCCUGACACACAUCUUUAUGUUAUUUCAUUAACUUAAUGGAAUAGACAUCAUUCAUGACAAUCUUUCUCCUUAUCUAUAUUAUAAAAAUACUAAGUUUCUUAUAGUACCAUUAUGCCAGGAUCUUCAUGUGUCUGAGACCGGAAUUUAAAUCUUUGUAUCAUUAAUGUCUAACACAGUGACUGAGGAAUACCAAGCAUCCAACAAAUAUUGAUUGAAGAAAAUAAAUACAUGAGUUAGUGCACACAUGCAUGUAUGCAUACAUGAAUGAAUGAAUAAAAACAUAAUUCCUCUGGUAUUUUCUUCUCUAACUUUCAUAUCUUCAUUGCCCCCUCACUGGCUGCUUCUGUUCACAUCGUCCCCAUCUUAAAUCAGCCUGCUUCUCUUCCUUAAAUCAAUGACAUAUCUUUUCUUCCAGUCAUCCACAAACUUUUAAAAAGUGUAGUCUAACUUCCUGCCUCCACUUUCUUACUUCCUGUUUACUUUUUAAUCACUCCUGUUUCUGUCUGCUCCACACCACUGAAAUGGCAAUCCUGAGAAUAAAGUAUCUUAAUCACUAAGUUCCCUGACCUCUAUUGAAUCGCUUUCAAACAAAAUCUGUGCUUUUAUGACCUUGUUGAACACUCAGUCAUUAUUAAAAUUCUACUGGAGUGGCUCCUAAGAUACUAUUUUUUCCUAGUUCUCAAACAUUUGAUUUUCUUUUGUUUUUGUUUACUGAUCUUAUUUCUUUG